CCCCGGCUGAGAGCAUCUUCCUCUCCCUGCCUGGCCGGCCGACGAGGCAGAGGCGGCCAUCAUGCCGCCACUCUCCCCUGGCAAGCAGCCAUCAGGCGCCCUCCUCCCCUUCUGAGGCGUUGCGCUUGCGCCUUUCUCUCCAUCCCGAUUCGGCGCCCUCCUCUCCCUCCCGAGCAGCACGCAGGGCCAUGGGAGAGCCGAUGGGAGGAGUUCGGUGCCCCUUCUCCUUCCCAAGGUGAUUAUUUGUACGGAGGAUAUGAGCGCCCUCCUCUCCCUCCUGAUGCAACAUGGUCGUCGGAGGAUACGACGCAGCCGAUGCUCCCUUCCGGUUGCAUCUACGGACAGGUGCAUAUGCUCCCUUCCGGAUGCAUCUACGGACAGGUGCAUCGCCGGUCACGUCGGGAACCUGUAUCUCUCUCUGCAGGACGCUGUGACGUCUAGGGCAUUUUGCAUCUGCACAAGAUGGCAUUGCUACAAAAUGUGUAGAUGGAUAAGAUGUGCAGUGACUUGCCAAUUUACAAUUUAAUCUACUGGUUAGAUCUUUCUUCAAUUGACACUACACAACUAUCAGGUUUUCAGAUGUAUAUAUCCAGAGGGCUUUAUACAUCAGAUGACAUUGGUGGUGAGAGAGAUUGGCUUCAUUUUUGUUGUAAUUGUUAGAUUUGGGGAUUUUUAUUGGUAUUGCAAAUUUUAUAUGGUUUCCCAAGGUGUCUUAUAGUAAAUGAUUGGGAGCAUGAUCAUAUAUGUUGUUCGGAGGCCUACACUAUAGUUCGGAUUAAAAGUGAGACUAUCUUGGUUGGUCCAUAGACAGCCAAGCAAAGGGUGCAUGAUUAUAAUUAUUACCUGAGAGAAAGGGUGGAACAUGGCGAUUAAUCUUUCCCAUGUUUGGUCUUGUGUUCGCUUAUCCAAUUUGUCUGCUAUGCCAGGAUCAGUUCUCAGAAUCAGCUCUAUACGCAAGACAAUGAAGCUUCUACCUAUUCUACUACUACACGCAGCUGGUAUAUGUUAAGUUUCUCGAGCCGGUAAAUUUGAAAUGCCUGGUUCUAGAGUGCCCAUUUAAUGGGCACACGUCUUAGCGAGUGGGUUCUGGAAGCCAGGGGACCAAAAUUGGCGAACCCGUGUGCAUACCAAUAACUGUUUUGCAUGCACCAGCCACCAAGUGGCCUUUCACGUUGCAGCGCCGUUAGUAUACAGUUGGGAUAUGCUAUGCAACGACUAUCAACAAGUGCCAAGGUCAGACACUUCAGAAUGUCGGGGUCAGACACUUCAGAAGGCCGGGGUUAGACACUUUAGAAGGUCAGACACUUUAGAAGGUUGGGGUCAGACACUUCAGAAGGUCGGGGUCAGACACUUUAGAAGGUCAGACACUACAGAAGGUUGGGGUCAGACACUUUAGAAUGUCAGACACUUCAGAAGGUCGGGGUCAGACACUUCAGAAGGUCAGGGUCAGACACUUUAGAAGGUCAGACACUUCAGAAGGUCGAGGUUUAUGUUGCGAUUUCAAGGGUAAUAUCAAGGGAAGGGCUUGUGCUAGCGCUUGAUGAAUCUGGCAAGGCAACUACCUAUACAACAAACAUAGUGUACAGGGAGGUCCUUGGCUAUCUAUAAGUGUUCUUUCCUACGGAGGUGGCGUUUUGGCUCAUAGGAGCA
Lolium rigidum is the source of this 1650-nucleotide long non-coding RNA. RefSeq lists it as uncharacterized. The record is from RefSeq and is a predicted model, not a curated record. The transcript has 4 exons. Lineage: Eukaryota; Viridiplantae; Streptophyta; Magnoliopsida; Poales; Poaceae.